This 492-nucleotide ribosomal RNA is filed under the name uncultured bacterium. RNAcentral describes it as "partial 16S ribosomal RNA". It matches the Rfam family "Bacterial small subunit ribosomal RNA", at positions 30 to 507 of the family's 1533-position model. The record is from RNAcentral.
AUUGAACGCUGGCGGCAUGCUUUACACAUGCAAGUCGAACGGUAACAGGCCUUCGGGUGCUGACGAGUGGCGAACGGGUGAGUAAUGCAUCGGAACGUGCCCAGAGGUGGGGGAUAACGCAGCGAAAGCUGUGCUAAUACCGCAUGUGAUCUGAGGAUGAAAGCGGGGGACCAAGCAGCAAUGUUUGGCCUCGCGCCUCUGGAGCGGCCGAUGUCAGAUUAGGUAGUUGGUGGGGUAAAGGCCUACCAAGCCGACGAUCUGUAGCUGGUCUGAGAGGACGACCAGCCACACUGGGACUGAGACACGGCCCAGACUCCUACGGGAGGCAGCAGUGGGGAAUUUUGGACAAUGGGCGCAAGCCUGAUCCAGCUAUGCCGCGUGCGGGAAGAAGGCCUUCGGGUUGUAAACCGCUUUUGUACGGAACGAAAAGGCUCUGGCUAAUACCUGGGGCUGAUGACGGUACCGUAAGAAUAAGCACCGGCUAACUACGUG